Non-coding RNA from Stegostoma tigrinum, 2030 nucleotides. The record is from the annotation of a RefSeq genome assembly. NCBI's taxonomy places the organism in Eukaryota, Metazoa, Chordata, Chondrichthyes, Orectolobiformes, Stegostomatidae.
GGAGUUUGUUCAGGAAGCUUUUGACAGAAGCUUUUCUCUCAAGCUACCAGACUGACUAUGUCGACGAUUCUUAUCAGUUUGUUUCUGACUUUCUUAUCCUGUGUCCUGUCUGAGGUUACUUUAAUUCAACCAGAGGCAAGGAACAGCCAACCUGGAGGCUCCCUGAGACUGACCUGUAAAACCAGCGGGUUUAGUCUUGGUAGCUACUACAUGGGUUGGGUCCGUCAGGUUCCCGGACAGGCUCUGGAGUGGUUGAUUACCUACUAUGAUUCAUCAAACAGUUACUAUGCGCCAGCAAUUAAAGAUCGAUUUAUUGCAUCCAAAGACACUUCAAACAACAUCUUCGCGUUGGAAAUGGAGAGCCUGAAGAUUGAAGACACCGCCGUCUAUUACUGUGCAAAAGAUCACAGAGCGACGAACAGUGAUGGCUUCGAUUCCUGGGGACAAGGAACCAUGGUGACAAUGACUUUAGUGACACUGUCUUCCCUGAAAAUUUAUGGUCUAGCCUCCUGUGAGCACCACAGCACUGACGGCUCUGUGAUUUUUGGUUGUUUGGCGAUGGACUAUUCCCCUGACACCACUAGUGUGACCUGGAAGAAAGGUGGGGAGCCGAUCACGACUGGAUUUAUGACAUACCCAUCGGUGAGAAACAAGAAGGGAACUUAUACCCUGAGCAGUCAGUUAGUGGUCACUGAGUCGGAGGCAGAAUGUGAAAAAAUUAUCUGUGAGGUUCAACAGAGCGGAUCCGACACGAACACUGGAAUGCCAUGCAAAAAUGGCGGUGUUCCUCCAACUGUUCUGCUAACUGUGAGUUCCAGUGAAGAAAUCGAGAGCAGAAAAGUUGCAACCAUAGUCUGUUCAAUCUUUGACUUCAAACCAAAGAAAAUCUCCGUGGUUUGGUUGAAGAAUGGAAGAGAAGUGAAUUCUGGUAUCUUCACUUUUCCCGUGUGUGAAGCAAAUGGAAACUUCUCAACGAUCAGUCAGCUGAGAGUCCCAUAUAGUGAAUGGUUCGACAGAGCAGUCUAUACAUGCCAGGUCGAUCAUGAAGGGCUCAUUCAAAGUCAGAACAUCACCAGACCUCAGGUUUCAGAGUGUCAUGAUUACACAGCUAAAAUACUACCGCCACCAGUUGAACAGGUCUUACUGGAGGCCACGGUGACAUUAACCUGCAUUGUGUACAACCUUCAUUUUGAAGCCAACUUCACCUGGAUACAUGACAAGAAGUCUCUGAAAUCAGAGUUUGUUCAUCAGUCCGGAGAGCAUUCUGAAGGUGUUAUCAGCAAGUUAGAUAUUUCUACUGAAGCCUGGCUGAGUGGGGAUACAUUUGAAUGCGUGGUGAACAAUCAGUAUCUGCCGACUCCACUGAGACAGUCUAUCCACAAGGAGAAAUUGGUAAACCCGCUGGAGCCAUCGGUGUCUGUCCUCCUGCCAACGACAGAAGACGUCUCCGCACAGAAGUUUGUUUCACUCACCUGUUUAGUGAGAGGUUUCAGGCCCCGAGAGAUCCUCGUCAAGUGGACAACCAACGACAAGCCGGUUAAUCCCACUAACUAUAAGAACACCGAGGUGAUGGCAGAGAGCGAUAACACCUCUUUCUUCAUGUACAGCCUAUUAUCCAUUUCUGCAGAGGAGUGGGCCAGCGGUGCUUCUUACUCCUGUGUGGUGGGACAUGAAGCGAUUCCAUUGAAGAUCAUCAACAGAACGGUUGAUAAGUCCAGCGAUUCGAUAGAUCGUAAUUGGAUUGAAGACUUUGAGUAUGAUAACGGCAACAUCAGGACAACAGCUUCUACAUUCAUCACCUUGUUCUUCCUGAGCAUUUUCUAUAGUGCUGCCGUCACGCUGGUGAAGGUCAAGUGAUUGAGUUUUGGACACCAUAGAAUUUCCUCGAGGAAAUUUUAUUUUUAUUGAGGCCACUGAAUUCCAAAUGUACAGUCCGUCCUACUGUUGACACUAGCAGUGAGAUAGAUUCAAUUUAUGAGUAUGUAACUGGGAAAAUAUUCAAUGGGAUUUCCAAUUUACCUUGUUUGAUC